Molecule: long non-coding RNA, 316 nt
Filed under: Cricetulus griseus (Chinese hamster)
Lineage: Eukaryota; Metazoa; Chordata; Mammalia; Rodentia; Cricetidae
Description: lncRNA (ENSCGRG00015030921.1)
Source: RNAcentral
GGCAAGGCCGGCAUGCCAAUCACCCAUCGGGAGACCGCAGCCCUAUCCAGCUGGUCUCACUCAGCCAGAGCAGAGCAGAGCAGCGCAGAUGGCAGAGACCUGCUGCCUCAGGGUAAAGCAAAACGUAGAGGGCUGCUGCUCCAAGGGCUGCAGUGGAGAAUGCAGGUGAUCACACGCUGAGUACGCACAUGGCUUUUCUUUCUGCUGGCCUUGAAUUUGAUUAUUUAGCAGAGGAUAAUCUGGAACUCCUGAUCCUUCUAUCUCCACCUUCAAGUCCCAAGUACUGGCCAGCUACCAUUUGCCGAGCACCUCAUCC